UAUGGCCAUAUCACGUUGAAACACCAGUUCCCAUAUGAUCAUCAAAGUUAAGCAACAUCAAACCUAGUCAGUACCUAGAUGAGAGAUCACUUGGGAAUGCCAGGUGCUGUAAG
Acanthosepion pharaonis is the source of this 113-nucleotide non-coding RNA. NCBI's taxonomy places the organism in Eukaryota, Metazoa, Mollusca, Cephalopoda, Sepiida, Sepiidae. The record is from the annotation of a GenBank genome assembly.